RNAcentral lists this ribosomal RNA (448 nucleotides) under uncultured bacterium. RNAcentral's name for it is "bacterial SSU rRNA". It matches the Rfam family "Bacterial small subunit ribosomal RNA", at positions 28 to 461 of the family's 1533-position model. The record is from RNAcentral.
GAUGAACGCUAGCUACAGGCUUAACACAUGCAAGUCGAGGGGAAACGACAUCGAAAGCUUGCUUUUGAUGGGCGUCGACCGGCGCACGGGUGAGUAACGCGUAUCCAACCUGCCCACCACUUGGGGAUAACCUUGCGAAAGUAAGACUAAUACCCAAUGAUAUCUCUAGAAGACAUCUGAAAGAGAUUAAAGAUUUAUCGGUGAUGGAUGGGGAUGCGUCUGAUUAGCUUGUUGGCGGGGUAACGGCCCACCAAGGCGACGAUCAGUAGGGGUUCUGAGAGGAAGGUCCCCCACAUUGGAACUGAGACACGGUCCAAACUCCUACGGGAGGCAGCAGUGAGGAAUAUUGGGUCAAAUGGGCGAGAGCCUGAACCAGCCAAGUAAGCGUGCAGGAUGACGGCCCUAUGGGUUGUAAACUGCUUUUANAAGGAAUAAAGUUAGUCUCGUG